CCUACGGGGUGCAGCAGUAGGGAAUCUUGCUCAAUGGGGGAAACCCUGACGCAGCAACGCCGCGUGGAGGAUGAAGGUUUUCGGAUCGUAAACUCCUUUUGUUAGAGAAGAUCAUGACUGUAUCUAACGAUUCAGCACCUGCUAACUCCGUGCCAGCAGCCGCGGUAAUACGGAGGGUGCAAGCGUUACUCGGAAUCACUGGGCGUAAAGAGCGCGUAGGCGGGAUAGCAAGUCAGAUGUGAAAGCCUAUGGCUUAACCAUAGAGCUGCAUUUGAAACUGUUAUUCUAGAGUAUGGGAGAGGUAGGUGGAAUUCUAGGUGUAGGGGUAAAAUCCGUAGAGAUCAAGAGGAAUACUCAUUGCGAAGGCGACCUGCUAGAACAUAACUGACGCUGAUGCGCGAAAGCGUGGGGAGCAAACAGGAUUAGAUACCCCAGUAGUC
This 440-nucleotide ribosomal RNA is filed under the name uncultured bacterium. Its description in RNAcentral is "partial 16S ribosomal RNA". It matches the Rfam family "Bacterial small subunit ribosomal RNA", at positions 338 to 795 of the family's 1533-position model. The record is from RNAcentral.